RNAcentral lists this ribosomal RNA (396 nucleotides) under uncultured bacterium. RNAcentral's name for it is "partial 16S ribosomal RNA". It matches the Rfam family "Bacterial small subunit ribosomal RNA", at positions 523 to 918 of the family's 1533-position model. The record is from RNAcentral.
AUACGUAGGUGGCAAGCGUUGUCCGGAUUUACUGGGUGUAAAGGGCGUGUAGGCGGAGAUGCAAGUCAGGAGUGAAAUCUAGGGGCUCAACCCCUAAACUGCUUUUGAAACUGUAUCCCUUGAGUAUCGGAGAGGCAGGCGGAAUUCCUAGUGUAGCGGUGAAAUGCGUAGAUAUUAGGAGGAACUCCAGUGGCGAAGGCGGCCUGCUGGACGACAACUGACGCUGAGGCGCGAAAGCGGGGGGAGCAAACAGGAUUAGAUACCCUGGUAGUCCACGCGGUAAACGAUGAAUACUAGGUGUGGGGGGACUGACCCCCUCCGUGCCGCAGUUAACACAAUAAGUAUUCCGCCUGGGGAGUACGAUCGCAAGAUUGAAACUCAAAGGAAUUGACGGGG